Molecule: ribosomal RNA, 404 nt
Filed under: uncultured bacterium
Lineage: Bacteria
Description: partial 16S ribosomal RNA
Rfam family: Bacterial small subunit ribosomal RNA
Source: RNAcentral
GAUGAACGCUGACGGCAUGCUUAACACAUGCAAGUCAACUCUGGCGGUCGGGUGAGUAACGCGUAAAGAACUUGCCUCAUAGCUAGGGACAUCACUAGGAAACGAAUGCUAAUACCUGAUACUGUGAGAGAGCGUGGGGUCCCAUUAGCUAGUUGGAGAGGUAACGGCUCACCAAGGUGAGGAUGGGUAGCCGGACUGAGAGGGUGAUCGGCCACAAGGGGACUGGGACACGGGCCUUACUCCUACGGGAGGCAGCAGUGGGGAAUAGUGGACAAUGGACCAAAGUCUGAUCCAGGAAUUCUGUGUGCACGAUGAAGUUGUCGGAAUGUAAAGUGCUUUGAGUUGGGAAGCGGUACCAACAGAAGAAGUGACGGCUAAAUACGUGCCAGCAGCCGCGGUAAUAC